RNAcentral lists this long non-coding RNA (36191 nucleotides) under Lathyrus oleraceus (garden pea). RNAcentral's name for it is "Pisum sativum (pea) long non-coding RNA (PSAT_LNC019971)". Lineage: Eukaryota; Viridiplantae; Streptophyta; Magnoliopsida; Fabales; Fabaceae. The record is from RNAcentral.
CUUUUUUUUCCUGAAGCUAUCAUAGCCUUCACAAGUUGGUCUAUCUGGUUCUUCAUCGAGUCAACAUCCCCUCUCAAUGCAAUAUGACUUUGCUCCAACGAAUCCAUGAUCUUUCAAAGGAUGCUUCAAGUCCGAUACGAGUGUUAGGAAAUCAACUGCAGGUUAUGGACAAAGGAUGGAUGAGUUUUUUUUGUAUUUGUGUGGAAAAUUAUAUGAAAUGCAUGAUGAUGAAUGCAUAUGCAAUGGUAUGUGAAUGAAUUCAAUGCCAUGUUCAGGAUCACAGGAAUAAAUAAGUUCACAGGUUGAUCAGAAUAACGGGUAAAUAAAUGGUAUCUCUGAUUAAAGGAACCUCAGAGGUAGGCUUUAUAGUUGGUAGGUUCCUAGAGUCAUGGAUCCUUCUUGAGAAUGUCACUUCUGUGACGAAGACUUGUCGGACAAUAAUAUCCUCAUAUGAUCUCGUCUAGGUGAGGUCUUCGUAUCGUCCCAACAAGAAAGACUCCUUUUGGGCCUCUAGUACACAACUCUUGAAUCCAAGGUUCUAACAAGGUUCUCAGAGUCAUAGAUCAAGGUUGGAAAUUUUUCUGUAAGAUAAUAUUACGUCCAAGGGAUCUCAUCUGAUUGGGACUUUCUUAUUAACCCAAAAAGUCUGAAGUCUCGUAGGUUAAUACUACACAAUUGCCGUGGAUGGAACAAGUUAGAAGGUCCCUAGAGUCACUGAUCUAACUUGAAAACACCAUUGUCGUGACGAAGGCUCGUCGGACAAUGAUAUCUCAAGAGAAUCUACUCUAGGCGGGGUCUUCGUAUCGUCCCAACAAGGAAGGCUCCUCGUAGGCCUCUACUACACAACCACCAUCUUAAUCCUAUGGGUUUUCUCAAACUCAGAUAGAGAGUCUAUCUCAUAAAGUGCCAAUGAUCAGAGAGCCCCCAUUAGCAAAAUAAGAGUCAAACAAUAAAUCACAAAAAUAGCAAUUACAAGGAAACAAUGAUACAUAAUAAAGAUAACAAACAUACAAGGUUAACAUUCAAACAGAAAGAAAAAUAAAUUAGGCUUGACUCUCUCUUGCUUGGAGCAUAUACUCCCCAACAGAGUUUCCAUUUGUCGCAUCUCGAAAAAUACGAUUCCUCGUGAUGGUCAUGGAAAAAUAGUUCAAACAGAGUCGCCACUGAACUUUAUUUACUCCAAGGAAGGAAUAGGAAGAUAUCGAUAAAACCUUUGAAAAGAAAGAAGAUGGCCGUCACAACCAUAUCCGGGUCCAGGAGUCGAUUACACAAGGGAAAGGUAUUAUCACCCCUCACGUACGUUGUAUUCAACGAGAACCUUUUAGUCUAAUUUAUGAUUUGAAUGUUAGCUAAUGUUAUUUAUUUUCUUCGAGAGAUAAAAGAUUGAGAAAAAAAGAGAUGGAUGGAAACCUCAAAAGGGGGGAAAAGGGAGGUUUUUUAUUAGUGUGCUCGCCAAGAUCUCACAAUCUCGUGCCUACGUAUCCUUAUGGUGCAAUAAGGAAAUCAGAGCAUUCGUAGUUCAGGGAACUACAGUUUGUUGGUGUCUUUUAAUGAACAACUGUUUAGAUCGCGUUCUAAAGGCUAAACAUUGGCUUGUCCACUAUCGGUGGAGGCUUAAGCACUAGUUUGUUAUGCGUGUUGGAAGGAAUUGAACAAUGUUCUUUCUGAAAAGAGUUUUGGCCACACGGGGGUGACAAGUUGAAUUUAAUAUGUUGAAUAUUUUUUUUUGAUUAGUUUCAAUCGCACGGGGGCGAGGAAAGAUAGAUUUGAUGUGUUGAGAUAUUUUAUUGGAUGACAAUUACUCAGAUAGUCGAGUAAGACAACUCGUAUCCAAAUAGUCGAGGAGAGGAAUCAAAGUCUCUAGAUCAUCUCCCUUUUCAUCCUUAAUUAUAAAAGGUUUUGAUAAUAGUUAAGGUAUUUGAAUGAAUGACGAAUACUUGAAUGGUCGAGUAAGACAACUUGUAUCCAAGUAUUCAGGAAUGGGAAUAAAAGGCUCUAUACCACCUUCUUUUUCAUCUAAGUUGUUAUGAAAUAGGUAAUUAAAAUUAAUUAUCAAAAUUGUUCGAUUAGAACUUAAUAUAAUCAAAUAAUUAAGUUAAUUAAAAUUACUUAACAAAAUUAUCUAAUUUAAUCAAAACUUUAAUUAAUUUAUUUAAAAGGAAAUAAAUGACAAUAUUGAAUAUAAAAUAAUCGAAUUGAAUCGGCCACCAUGUGCUCAUAAACUGGUUUGUACAUAGCGGCAACAAAGUUGGAGUGUCGUAUGUAAAGAUCGAAACACGGUGAAAAUACGCAAUCAAUGUAUAGAAACUUGGGCGGCAUAACGACAUAAAAUUGCCGAAUCCACGAAUUUAAUUCGAUUAAAAAUGAAAUGAACUUAAACAAUGACAAACUAAUAUUGUUUACCAAUAUUAUACCAUUACGCAUUAUCAUAUCAACCCAAAAUAAUCAAUAAAUUACAUACCAUUAAAAAAAACAAAUUGAAAUAAAACCACAACAAUGAAAUCUCAUAACCAAAAAAUAAAUGUAUCACAUAUCUAGAUCCCAAGUAGCAACUAUAUACUUUUCAAAUCAACAUACAUCCACAAUAAUCCAAUAGUAUCACAUUGAUGCAAGUUUCUAUCCAUAAAAUAUAAAUAAGAAUCUAUCAUGGACUCAAGAGUAUUUUGAAACAAAAUACAUAAACAAAAAAAAUAACGCUCGACAACGUGAAUUCAAGAUACACAUUAUCGAGUUUACGCAAUGUUGAUCGGAGCUUCGAGAUGCCUUGUCGGAGUUAAUUUGCUGGUGGUGAUGAUGAUCAUCUGUAAUGGCUUGCUUUACCGUAUCGGAAAUGAGACAACAAGCUUUUUUCGUGUCACCUCAAUUGUUGGCUGAACUUAGUGAUUCUAGCCACAACUCAAGUUCUUCUUUCACCAAUCAAAGAGAACAUCAUGGUUUUGCAUAAAUCUUCAGAAUUGAACACCUUAUGGUUGGUCUUGAGGGUGGUACGACUUCAAUCGGACACAUUAUUAUCAAUAACAUCAAGCAAAUCAUAAUCGGAACCAAACUGAAAACAAAGUCUACAUGAUCGAAAUGGUAAACACAACACAACAAAUAUUGAAACGAUUAACGACACAAUAUUAAGAUGUUGAACUUAUUCAACUUAGACCACUAAAGCACAAACACAAUUAUCAUAAAACUAAACUCGAAUAGUGACGUUGAAAACAAAGUGAACACUUGAGUGUUUCAGAAUGGAUCAUCAGCAAAAAUGCUUAAUCAGAAUGUUGCAAGUUGGUGGAGGAAGCGAUUGUGAAUUAUUGUUUGCGCCAGUGAAAGAAACUUAGAGGGAGUUUGUAUUGUUUAGAGGUAGUGAUGCAAAGUGUUAGAAGAGAGAGCCGAUUUUGAGGUGGUGAUAGUUUCAAAAGAUGUAAGGAAGUGAGGUGGUUCGCCGUUGGUGACAGGUUGGGAAUGGUAGAUCGGAGAUUGUGUAGAUCCAUUUUUUUAUUGAGCAUGAAAUAAGGUUGUUGGAGGUUGUUUAGAAGGUGAGGUUUAAUGGUGGAGUUUUAAAGGGAAGGGUAAACCGCGGCGAUGCAUUGAGGAAGAUAAGGGUGUGGACGAUGGCAGAAAGGUCACGUGGUGGUGGUUUGUUUGCGACAAAUGAUAUACAAGGAGAAGAUUUUCGUGAUGAUGGCGGGUCUACACAAAACUGAGGGUGUGGGUGGAAGGUGUGUUUAGGUGGAAGGAGAGGAAGGAGGUAUCCGUAUGAAAGUUUAGGGUUUGUUGUUUUGUAAUGGAAGAAGAGUGAAAAAUAAUUGUGGUGGAGAUGUUUUUUUCUUCUGGAAGAAGAGGGUACUAAGCAAAGGUAUAUUCAGCCCAAAAAGUGUGAUACUCCCCCUGAGAGAAACCCUCAAAUUAACUUUAAAAUGAAAGAAAAUCUACGCAAUCAACAUCGAUCGCGUGUCCAUGCCAUGUUCCCCUCUUUUGUCUUAUGCAUUCAGUGAGAGAGAUUGUUAGCUAACAAUGGGGAAGUGGACUUAUUUAACUGAUAAUUAUCACAUGGAAAUGAGAGAGGGAGACUUAGUGGGCGUGAUUGGAUCAUGGUAUUGGUGAGAAAAACUUUUGUUUUGUUUUGGGGUGAGAUGACUGCGUGGCAUGCUUCAAGUGGAAAAAUGAUAGAUAUUUUUGCCAUUUUCUUGAUUUUUGUAUAAUAAAUUAAAUUAACAACACAUAACUUCAAAAUUGAUAAAAAAUAAAUGACGCAAUAAAAAUUUAAAGAAAAAACACAAAUAUUUCUAAAUAAUUGGCUCGAUUAUUUUGACUAAAAAACAUAAAUAAACGAAUAAAAAAUGAAUAAAAAUUGGACGCAAAAACGCUCGAAAAAGUAAAACGACUGCACCACAAUGAUCAACACGAAAUAAAUCUCUCAGAAAAAUACAACGUUUGAUUUAAUUUUGAAAUCAAUUUUGAUCGGUUAAAAGGCUCAUACGGAUCAAAAUGCAAGUGAAAAAGUCAUCGAAAAAAUAAAACGAGCACACCAGAUUAAACUACAUGAAUCAUAGAUCAAUGAUACUGACGUCUGCAAGCUCGAUUUCAAAACUUUUUACCGUUGAUUUUACAAGUAUUUGAGAAAUGAUUUAACAAAUCCAUCUAUAUGUUCAAGAAUUUAUUCUGGCUGACAUUUUAGGCGUUAUUCAUGAUGAAAUGCAUGUUUUGCUAUGUAGAUGAUACAAAUAAAAAAUAAAGUUAAAUAUUUGAAAGUUUUAAAAAUGGCCGAACAAAAUUGGGGUAUGACACUUAGACAUAACGAAUUAGGUGAUAUGUUAAAUAUGUAAUUCUUUGUGCUAAGCAUGUAUGUCUAACUGUAGGAUUCGGCUGAGUCGAAGCAACAUGUAUUCAACAGAGUCGAAGUUGAACGUAAUCGUUAGAGUAGUAGUUGACUAUAAUUUGUAAUAGUUGAAUCUACAUAUAUUCGAUAAUAAAUCAAAUAUAACAAGUAGUAGUCAAAGUUGUGUGUAUUCGAUAGAUAGUCAAAUAUAGUUUGCAUUAAAUCGAAUGCAUAUUGUAAUAAAUUAAAUGUAUUGUUGAAUAAUAAAUAGUGAAUCUAAAUAGAGAGUAAGCUCAAAGACAUUUGAGUACGAUUUCAUUAUUUAUUGUAUUUUGUAAAAUCGUGAAGUUAGCCAAUUUGAGGUUGAAGUCUCAAAUGGAGAAACUCAAAUGACUAAGAUUGAUCAAUAUUCGAACAACCGCUUGGUCCUUGGAAUACUUUUUACAAAAUUUAUUUGCGUAAUUUUGUUUUGUGAGUAUUUAAUUCAAUGGUCGAGUCAUUUUUAAAUUUGACAUAAUAAAAAUACUAAUUAAAGUGAAUUCAAAACUAUUUAAUCACAAAACUCUAUUAAUAUAAGUCUCCUUGAUAAUUGUUUCGUAUUAGUGGAUAUAAUGAUUACAUUUUUUAGGAACUUCCAAAAACAUACCAUUGCUUUCAUUUUAAAAUAACCAUGUUUAAGAUUUUUGCACACAGAUUAAAAAAUAUAAUAAUGUUAUUAUAAAAUAUUGCAUUUUUACUAAAUCAAUCUUAUAAAUAUAUUAAAAAUAAUGUACAUAAUAAUAAUUAAAGAAUAUAAUUGAAAGAAUAAUAAUAAUUUUUAUAUUAAAAAGUGAGAAUGAUUUCAUUUUAAAAUAAAUUUAGUUUAUUAAAACGAUAGUAAUUUUAAAAAAGAGGGAGUACUAGACAUAAACUCGAUUUUUUUAUUGUGUACAACUUUCCAAACCACUUGUUUUGAUGCAAUGUGUCAAGAUCGAACAAUUUUCUUAUUAUUCGAAGACUUGUUAUCAUUGUAUCUAUGUAUAUAAUUCUAAUUGCAUUUUUUAAUUUCAUAUUCUUCGGCCCUUAUUUAUAAAUAAAAAUGACAAUGUUCAUGUUUAUUAAGAAUGAUAGUCAAGUGUAUUUUUUUUUUGAUUUCAUAUAAAAGAGAUAAUAUAAUUACUAAUAACUCUAAAUUAAAUUAUCAUCCACUAAUAAUAUUAGGUAAUUAAUACAUUGAUAGUUUUGAAAUAAAGAUAUUAAAUGUGCAUAAAUUUAUUUACAUUUGUUUAUAUUUAAGACUAAAAAAUUUAGAAGACUUUUUCUUAAAAAUAAGACCGGAUGAAGUAUUUCAUUGCCAUCUAAAAAUCUAGAAAUAUUAUAAACUUAGUUGUUGACAAAGUGACCCAAAACACAAGAAGGGGGGAAUUGUCAUAUUCAAAAUUCGUGACUAGUUUUAAAACUUUUUACCUUUAAAAUGCUAAUAUUACCGGAUAUGAUGAAUGAUGGAGAUGAAGAGAGAUACACAUCAAAAAUAAAAUAAUCAAGGAAAGUGAAGAGAUAAGAGUUAAAGAGAGUGCACCCGAGAUUAAUACUUGUUCAACCGAGUCACUUGGCCUACUCCUGUCUCUAUGAGUUUUCUCUUGAUAGUUCUACUAAAAGCACACUUUAUCUUUUUAGAGGAUUUGCGCAAAAACCUUCAACAACAAAGAAAUAGAGCUUUUACACUAGAAAAUAUCAAGAACCAAUAGACAAAUUUUUUACACGGGCUUAACUCAAUCACCUCCAAAUAGACAUGUAAGACCCCAAUUUUGACCCUAAGAUCGCCUCAUGCUAUCUCAUCAUAUGCAUUAGCAUUUGAAUCACACCUUGGCAUCCUCCUCUCCCCUCAUUCAUUGGGUUUAAAUUGGGAGAGGUCACCAAGCAUAUUUGAUUGUAUCAUACUUUUUUUUUCAUUAUUUACUAACCAAAAUACCAAAAAUAUGUCCAUGUAUAGUUUGUUGCUUUUAUAGGUAGCGUGUGAGUUCACCCAUGCUCCAUCAAGCUCAUAUCUAGGGUUUAAGACCCUCAAUGCAAGGAGACAAAUCAAGAGAUGGUUUACAUUGACUCUACACAUCAUUUAUGGAUCCCCUUGAUCUUCAUUUAUCAUUUUGAUCAAGAAUUCAUCAAAAGUUUGAAGCUUGUUUGUCUUGGAAGCCCUAAUUCAUUUAGGUAUCUUGUGUGACUUCCUCAACAAAUUUCUUCAACAUUUGAUCAAAUAUUUCAAGGUAUACUUCAUAUUACAUCAUCUUACACAUAUAUUAUCCUCCAUGAGUCCCAAAGAUGAAGAUAAUGUUAAGUUAGCAAGUUGGUUCAUGGUGGUUGACCAGAGAAAGUCAACUGGUCAAAACUGGGGUUCCCUAGAUCCUAUCUCCUACAAUUUUUGUCAUAUGAAAAUUAUUCCAAGAUGAAAUUUACUUAUAAUGAAACCCCAAACAACUUUCAUGUUUAAGUAAAGAUCUAUUUUUGCAUGGAAAGUCAUUUUUUAUGGUGAAAGAUUAUAGGUCAUUUUGUCUGAACCCUAGUUAGGAGGUCAACUUCCAAAGACCAUAACUUGCUCAAUUUUUAUGAUAUGAAAUACAUUAAAGUUUGAUGAUCAAAUUAAAGAUGUCCUUUUAAGCUUUUAUUUUUGGAAGAAGUUCAAAUUCAACUUUAAAAUGUAUGUGCCAAGAGGAAACAUUAUAGGUCAUUUUGGGCCAUUACCAUUGAACAAGUGAUUUUCCUCAACUUCUAAAAUGCAUAACUCCAUCAUGCCAAAUUCAAAUGAGGUCAAAUUUGUGAAAAACUUAAAUAUAUUUGAAAUAGCUACAUCUUUGAUGGAUGAACUUUUUCCAUUGGAAGCCCAUAGCAAAAGUUAUUUAAGAUGGAAGAAGUGAACAUUUGACUUGGUACUUAGAAAAUUUUCAAACAUGUUUGAUUUUCCGAACUUCCACCUCAAAAUUCAUAAUGAUAAAAGCUUCAAAUGGAAAAGUGUUCAACAUGAAAGUUGUUCCCCUUGAUAUCAACUUUCCAAAAAGUCCAAGGUCACCUCAUUUGGCUAAAUAAUGAAGGACUUGCACAUGGGUUCUUUUCAAGGGACCAAUUGGAUGUUUUUCACCUUCACAUUUCAAACUCAAAUGCAUGGCCACAUGACAUGAUUUCAGCAUGAUUCUCAAGAAUUUUUGGACCUGAAUACAUCACUUGAUGGGCCUAUGACAUGCCCAUGCAAGCAUGCAAUGAAAAUUGCUAAAUUUGGAAAAAUUAGGAAGUGUGUGGAAAUGAAUCACAUUGUCUAUAAAUACAACCCCUCAUGCUCAGAAUUGAAGACCUCAUGCCCAAGCUUUGAACCUGAAAUCCAAACCCUCACCAUUAAAGCAUAAUCUUGAAGGUUUUCAUUUGAAUAUCGAGCUUCAAAUCUCAUUCUGUUUUGAGAUUGAAACUCCAAGAGUCCAAGCCAUUUUCUGAUCUUAAUCACUUCCUACAAGCUUCUGAAACAAAGCCAAGCACAAUUGGGAUCAAGAUCAAGCAAGUUUGAAGCUCCCUCAAAGGUAAUUUUUCAGAAUUUUCAUCUCUUCGAUUCUCCCUCAAUUCUUCACGAUUCUUUGUGAUUUUUCGAUGGCUGAAGUCCUACCAAUGUAGGCAAGAAUAUUGAGUUGCUUUGAGGUCAAAUCGAAGCAACUCAAUUCAUGAUCCUCAAAAUUCAAAUCCAUGUAUCUUUUUAUAUACUUGGAAUUGGAGAAAAUUGAGGCCAGAUUCGAGCUCCUGAGCAUUUUCUCUUCAAAACAGUGUCCUUGCUUUUCAUUUUUCAUGAAGUUGUGGUUGGACCAGUCCGGUUGUCAUCAUCGGAGAAGAUGACCAGAGCUAGGGCUCCGUUGGUGAGUUGGCUUCAUCUCAUCCAUCUGAUCUUGGUCCAAGGAUCUAAUCUUAGCCUUUGGUUUGAAUUACCACUUGUACAUGCGCGUUGACCGUGGACUAUGGUGGAUGAUACACGCUUGGCCAUCAGAUCUGCCACCUCAAUUAAUGAGGGAGAUUUGAUGGCCCUCGUUUUUUCCAAUUUCGUUUUAAUUUCUGAGUUUAUGUUUAAUUGCUUUAUUUUGUUUAAUUCAUAACAUUUUCAUUUUUAAUCCAAAAAAUAUGAGACUUUCACCAAAAAUCUUUAAAUAUUUUCCUCUUUCAUUUUGUGAAUUAAAAUUAUUUUUUGGAUUAAUGUUGAUAUUUUUCAUGAAUUAAAUGUUUUUGUGCAUAUUUUUAAUUGUUUAAAAAUACUUUUGACUUUUCAAAAAUGAUGAAAUUUUUUGUCUAAGGUCCUUUGACCUUGUUUGAAGAGAUUUUAGGUUUUGGCCAAAUUAAAUUGGAUUUUCAUGCAUUUUUAAUUGAUUAAUUAUGUAAAAAUUAUGUUGAGCCAUUUUUAUGGUCUUGUGAUGUUUGACUAUUUGUUUGGGCCUUGGUCAAGGUUGAUUUGAAUUUUAUUGGAUCAAAAUCAUUGGAUUUGGGGGAUUGAUGAAAUAUACAUUUCAUCUCCCCAAAUGAAUGAAUGAUUUUAAUUUGAUAAAAUUCCUCCCAUGACCAAUUUGUGUUUCUCUCACUCCCCCCCNCCCCCCCCCUUUCAUCUUCAUCCCUAUUCUUUCCCAUUCCUUUCAUUGACCAAUGAAAUCUCAAAUAUCCUAAAGCUAAUUGGUUCAUCAAUGACUUUGUGUCAGAUGAACCAAUACAAGUAUGGAUGAGAUAGGUCUAUCCCUCUUGAUCUUUUCUUUUAGUGUGUGGUAUGUUUUAGGAGUUUGGUUCAUUAUACCAAAUCUCUAACAUGCAUUAACACCUAAUUUUUUAUUGCACAACCUCAGAUUGUUGUGACUUCUAAAUAAGUCCAAUUACGUUUGCUUAACAUAAAACUAAAUUUGACCCUAAAGGCAUAACAUUCUAGUAAGUGAGAUUGUCAAUAUCCCAUCUUUCAUGGUAUUAUGUGAAAACUUGGCCUUUUCUCCUUCCUAUGGAAGAUGACAUGGUUCAAGGAUUCAUGCUUGUGAAUAGAUGGUUAAGUGUUCUCCAAAGAAUGACUUAAUCAAUUAAAAAGCAAAAUACUACUAACAUUCAAUUAACUUUGACUAAUAUUUGACUAACUCUUAUUAAUAUUACUUUACUUUCAAGUCAUUUACUUUAUGCAAUUUAAUUUCUAGUCAUUUAUCAUUCAUUGCCAUUUAUAUUUCAUUUAACUUGUUUAUAUUUAUGCCAUUUUCACUUUGCUCAUUUGAGCCAUAGAUUGUGAUUUUAUAUAUUUUAUUUGUGUAUUUUGAUUGUGUUUGUGGUCUUAGGACCUUAAAAUACUUAAUAAACAACAAAAACCCUAAAAAAUGUUUGGUGGACUGUUGAUCUUGAUCUGAACUUUUGGACUUAGAACUAGGCAACAUUCCCUAUGUAAAAAAGACUUGGCCAAUGCCAACAUUCUUAGAUCAAGUUAUUAUGAACUGAGCCUUCAUCUGAUGCAAGUCUUAUGAUCCAUAUGAACUCAUCUGCUACAUUGUCUUGAUACAAAUUUUUAUUUUGAUCUGGUGUCUAAUGCUUUAUUCUGAGUUAAUCAAGGAGUAUUUCAUCUGAUACAUGAGAAGACAAAGAAGAUUGCUAGCUAUGGGAUUUACUUGCUUGGAUGUGGCUAUCUUUAUUUGAUGCCUUGAUCUUUCAUGAUGCCUGAUAUUACGAAUGGCUUGAUGAUUAUUGCUUGAUUCAAAGUCCAAAGGGAAAGUGGGUUUUCUAUAUGACAUACUUGUCUGUUGGAUUACAUCCCAUUGGUCAGAUCUUUUCAACUCUUAACUUUUAAAUAUAUGCUUAGGAUUAGUCUCUUCAUCUCCUCCCACUUCUUAAAUUACAAAGUCUCUCCCUCUUUUCAAAAACUUUCUUUGCUUGUGAUUUCAAACUUAAACCUUAUUUCAAAUAGAAACUUUGGCCUUAUGUCGUUGAAUUUUUGAACUUCUUUUUCUUAAAUCAAACUUGUAAAUAAAUCUAAUCAUAUUGACUAAAAAAUUUCAAAAGAUAAAAAGAACUAACAACCCCAUUCAAACCUUUGGCCCCUUUGUGCCCUUCUCAAUUAAAUUUUUGUUAAAAGCAAUUCACCAACUUUGAAAUUUUUACCACGAACUACGAGGUUUUGAUCCCUCAUUUUUAUGUUGGUACGUAGGCAUAAGUCCGAAGGUCUUGUCAAACACAAAAAUAUAAUCAAUGAAUUCUUUUCUCAUCCCUACACUCUAUUUUUUUCAAACAUCAUUUUAUACAAAAAAUACAUACACACAUAAAAAAGGGCUCCCUAGGAGUACCUAAGACACUUUGGGUGCUAACAUCUUUCCUCUGUGUAACCGACCCCCUUACCUGUAAUCUCUGACGUUUUAUUAGUUUUGAUUUGAAAACUUCUUAUAUUUGGGUUUUGUUCGUACUUUUCCCUUUUUCCUUUAGAAACAAUAAAAGUGAGGUGGCGACUCUAUUUUUUUUGAUGUUAACCUUAUCCAUAGCUUGAUGGUCAUGGAUUUACCGCUACCAAAAUUAAGUGGCGACUCUGCUGGGGAGUAGUCCUCAAUGGGUUUAACCUACUCUUUUAUGUGUAUAUAUUUGUAUAUUUGAUGUUUGUAUACUUGUUUGUAUGAUAUAAUAUGUCUGUUGUGCUUGGUGAUCUCUAAGUGGUGACGUAAGUUCUAACUCGAACUUUAGUGCAAUUAAGAUAGGAGGAUGGUAUAAUCAUGUUCAACUUGUGUGGAGUAGUCCUUAACAAGUUAGCUUGAGACCCAUCUACUCAGUGGAGAACCUUUUGGAGUUAAUAAUGUCACACAAGUUAUUUGUGGUUAGGCAUUACUUUCUCUGAUUCGGGGUCCGAGAAGUUGAGGACCGUAGAACAUUUAACCCAACUUGGCAUAUUUAGGACGUAGUGCGGAGACUAUUCAGGUGUAGACCUGAUAACAAUUGUUACGCGAUACUACACUCAGACGAGUUUCUCUUGAGAAUAUUAUGGGUUGAUGAGUCAGUCAUCAUAACCUAUAAUAUCCAAAAGAUGGGAUUAAGAUUCUGGGAACUUUUUAGAACAUGAUCUACAGGUUUUUAUCCUUAGUACACUGCUUUUGGAUGGUUCUUAACCCGACUCCAUGCUUGUAACUCACAACAAACCCUUUGAUUCUCGGUUGAUCUGAUAAAGUCUCAUCAAUAUCAAUGGAACUUGGGUGUUGAUAAGGUGAAAACCAUAAUCCACCAAAAUUGAUGAUUGAUCUUGAUGGUGACUUGAUCCAUCCCUUGACCUUUGUUUGUGGUUGCCUUAUGUAUGAUCCCUUGUUUGUGAUUGUUGCAUUCAUGCAUACUUGCGCAUCAUAACAUUCAUCAUAAAAAAAUAAAUUUCAAGGAACUAAGGUCUUAUUUGCAAAUAUUUUCAGACCAUGGAUUAUGGCAAAGGAACAUUAAGAAGUACAGUUUCAGAUGUCCUGAUUUCAAAGAGCUAAGGAAGUUGUCAUCUUUUGUAUUAGAUCCCUUGGACUUCACGCAACGUCAUGGAAAGCUUUUGUCUGUGUUAUCUGUUGACGUGGUUGAAGGACUCUUGAGUGUCCUGGUUCAGUUCUAUGACCCUCUCUACCGAUGCUUCACUUUUCCUGAUUAUCAGCUUGUGCCUACGUUAGAGGAGUAUGCCCAUCUCUUGGGAAUACCCGUUUCUGAAAAGAUACCUUUUAGUGGAUUGAAGGAGAUUCCCAGAUCUCAUAUCAUAGCCGAAGCUCUUCAUCUGAAGAAAUCUGAGAUUGAGGCUCAUUGGGUAAAGAAAGGAGGAAUUAUGGGGUUGACUUCUGAGUUCCUUAUUGGAAAAGCUAUUGUCUUUGCUCAAGCCGGUAGUAUGGAUGCUUUUGAAGCCAUCUUUAUAUUGCUCAUAUAUGGUUUAGCUUUAUUCCCUAACAUUUACGGUUUUGUUGAUGUUAACGCCAUUAGAAUCUUCUUGAUUGGGAAUCAUGUGCCUACUCUGUUGGGUGAUAUGUAUUUCUAUUUUCAUUGGAGGAAUUCUAAAGAUGGUGGGACUAUUGUGUGUCGUGUUCCUCUUCUGUACAAGUGGUUUAUUUCUCACUUGCAUCAGACGCCUGCUUUUCUGGAGAAUAAGCAAUGUCUACGGUGGUCUCAAAAACUUAUGUCUCUCACUAAUGAUGAUAUUGUUUGGUAUGACUCUGUAUUGGGUAGCUUGGACAUUAUUGAUAUUUAUGGUGAAUUUUCUAAUGUGCCUCUCAUUGGUACACAAAGAGGAAUCAACUACAACCCUGCUUUGGCUCGUCGUCAACUUGGGUUCCCCUUGAGAGACAAACCUAAUAACACUCAGUUAGAAGGUCUUUUCUAUCAAGAGGGUAAAUAUCCCUAACAUUUGAAGCAGAAGAUGAUACAUGCUUGGCAUAAUAUGCAUAGGAAAGGAAGAUCCGAGCUUCGUCCACACAACUGUGUGGCUUUGGAAGCUUACACUACUUGGGUGAAAAAGAGAGCUUUGGAGCUAAAGAUUCCAUAUGCUUGUGAAUGACUUAUGUCUCUGGUUGUAGUUGAGCCAUCAACUCUCCCUAACCAAGAUGUAGAAGAGUUGGAAGACGCACUCGCCAAGAUGAAACAAGAGAGAGAUAUGUGGGAAUAGUGGUUCCAUGCUUUAAGCCGAAAGCAUGAGGAGUUGCAGCUUGAGUCGAAAGAAAAGGAUGCACUUCUUGAACUUCUUGAAGACCGAGCAGUGAAGAGAUAGAGAGGGUCCACCUUCCUCUAAUAUGUCUCAGCCUUCCGGUGUUUGGAAGAAAAUUGUUGAUCAACUUGUCCUUGAGAAAGCUCAGAUGAAGAAAUCCUUUGAGUCUCAGAUUCAACGCAUCCGAAGGAAGUAUGCACCCAUAACCAGAUCGUCUGAUACCAUUGCUAAGGGGUCCUUAGGAUGAUUAGUUUCCUUUUCUCUUGUAUUUGUAUUUUGUUUUCUGAAAUUGUACUUAGUGUAAUCCUUCCAAAUUUUAUGAAUAAAAAGAGAUUUUAAGGUCAAUCAAAUUGUUACUAUUGUUAUUAUUUUAUAUUUGCAAAUACAACUUUGUAUGUUCCUUGAAAUUAAAUAAAUAAAAACAUUGCAUUUCAUGCAUCCUUUGCAUAGCAGGUUUGCUUCCGCCAGAUGUCUUAUUGGUUAUUCUUUUGUGCUUCAGUCAAGCUGACUCACCAAUACAACACUCGCACUAAUAAACCGAAGAUCAUAGAACACUUAGAGCAAGAGAAUAGAGAGCUGAAGGAUGAAAUUAUACGGUUAACUGCUAUGAUGGAGUCUGUUCUUACUACACAGAAUCAGUCUUCACCAACUCCUGUAACUCCUCCCCAGAGAACUGUUAUUUCUGAGGUUGUUACCUCGACUGUUCCUAUUGCUGCCAGCCAAUCCGGUCCUUCCGUGCCUGCUGGUUUCCCUUGGGGAAUGCCACUAAAUUUUAUGCCGGAAGGGUAUGCACCCACAUUUAUUUCUCUGUCGGCAUAUAGCCUAGUCAUGACAAUGCCACCUCCAGUCGUUCAUACUUUGCCUCGUGUUGAGGAUACCAUCUACCAUUCUGAGCCUUUUGAAGGCGCAAAUGUAUAUGAGAAAAUGGACGAGAUGAAGGAUCAGUUCCUCAAGCUGCGCAAAGAGUUGAAGACUCUAAGAGGAAAGGAUUUGUUUGGGAAGAGUGUUGUUGAGCUCUGCCUAGUGCCUAAUGUGACAAUCUCGAUGAAGUUCAAGGUCCCUGACUUUGAAAAGUAUAAGGGAAAUACUUAUCCACUAAGCCACCUUGUGAUGUAUGCCAGAAAAAUGUCAACUCAAACUGAUAAUGAUCAAUUACUGAUUCACUACUUCCAAGACAGUUUGACUGGUGCCGCUUUGAGAUGGUAUAUGGGGUUAGACAGUACAAACGUCCGUACUUUCAAUGAUUUGGGUGAAGCCUUUGUCAAGCAGUACAAAUACAACGUUGAUAUGGCGCCUGAUAGAGACCAGCUGAGGUCUAUGUCUUAAAAGGAUAAGGAGACAUUCAAAGAGUAUGCUCAAAGGUGGAGGGAGCUUGCUGCCCAGAUUAGUCCAUCAUUGGAAGAAAAGGAGAUGACGAAGAUUUUCUUGAAGACACUGAGUUUGUUUUAUUACGAACGUAUGAUUGCCAGUUCCCCUAAUGACUUUACUGAAAUAGUAAACAUGGGGAUGAGGUUAGAAGAAGGAGUCCGUGAAGGACGUCUGUCUAAAUAAGAAGCAUCGUCUAGCAAAAAAUAUGGGGGUAGUUUCUCCAAGAGGAAGGAAGGGGAAACUAAUUCAGUAAUUAUGGGGGCAGAGGAGGCCUCAUGUCAGAAAGAGUUCUCAACCUCGUCAACAUCAACAUCAAGUUUCAUUAGUAAUUCCUGUGUUUUCCAACAAUUCCAAUAAUCAAUUUGUUCCGAUUCAACAACAACAACAUCAACAACAACGUCAACAACAACCGCAAUAAAGAAUCAACUACAACAACAACAAUAAUAAUCAGCAAGGCAUUGAGAGGAAGAAGGCCUCUUUUGACCUUAUUCCUAUGUCGUAUGCAGAACUAUAUCCAUCGUUGGUUCUCAAGAACCUCAUCCAACCCAGAAAUCCUCCACAAAUUCCUGAGCCACUUCCAUGGUGGUUCAGACCUAAACUUCGCUGUGCCUUUCACCAGGGAGCCCCUGGCCAUGACAUAGAGAAUUGCUAUCCGUUGAAGUAUGAAGUGCAAAAACUUGUGAAAAGUGGGAUGGUGUCCUUUGAAGACCGAGGACCUAAUGUGAAAGCUAAUCCAUUGCCUGCUCAUGGUAAUGCUACUAUUAACAUGGUGGACGGUUGUCCGGGGAAUUUAUGAGUAUUCGAUGUACGGUAUAUCCGUAGGUCGUGGGUGGAAAUGCAUAGAACCUUGUGUUUGAUCAGUGACUAUGAGCACGACCAUGAUGGUUGUGCAAUCUGUAGUGUGAACCCCCGUGGGUGUAUGAUUGUCAAGAGAGAUAUCCAGAAGUUGAUGGAUGAGAAUAUAAUCCAGAUUCAAUAGUCAAGGGAUAUAGAUGAUGUAAAUAUGAUCGUGCUAGUGUUCAAGACCCCUGAGCGGGUAGUCAUUCAAUUUGAUAGCAACAAUAACAACAAUGUUAAUAGAUCAUUAUCGUCAUUGGUAAUACGGUUAGUGGGCCCUGUUCCGUAUGCAUCCGAUAAAGUUGUGCCUUAUCAAUAUAACGCCACAAUGGUGGAGAAUGGUCAAGAGAUUCCUUUACCAAUUGCAGACUCCAUGGUGAGUAUACCUGAUAUUAUGAAGGUGACCCGUAGUGGUCGUGUGUUCGGUCCGGUUUUCCCGAAGGAGGCAGAAUAUGUUUCAAUCAGUAAGAUGGCAGAGAUUCCAGUGGUGAAUCCAGUUAGUGCUCAAGUAUGUCAGUCUGGUGAAUCCAGCAAAUUGAAGGCUAAUGAUGAUGACGAAGUGUUGAAAUUAAUAAAGACAAGUGAGUUUCAUAUGGUGGAGCAGCUGCUCCAAACCCCGUCAAAAAUCUUCGUGCUAUCCUUAUUGAUGAAUUCUAAAGCACAUAGGGAGGCGUUGCAGAAAGUGCUCGAGCAAGCCUACGUGGAGCAUGAUGUUAUUGUGGAUCAGUUUGACCACAUUGUUGCCAAUAUUACUUCUUGCAAUAAUUUGAGUUUUUAUGAUGAAGAGCUUCCCGAGGAAGGUAGAAAUCACAAUCUGACACUCCAUAUUUCAAUGAACUGCAAGGAGGACGCUAUGUCCAAUGUGUUGGUUGACAUUGGGUCAUCUCUGAACGUGCUUCCAAAGUCAACUUUGUCCAGACUUUCUUACCAAGAUGCCCCGAUGAGGUACAAUAGCGUGAUUGUUAAAACGUUUGAUGGUUCCCAUAAAACCGUCAUUGGUGAAGUGGACCUUCCAGUUAAGAUAAGUCCGAGUGAUUUCCAAAUUAUUUUUCAAGUGAUGGAUAUCCACCUGACCUAUAGCUGCUUGUUGGUAAGGCCAUAGAUUCGUGAAGCUGGAGCAGUGACAUCUACUCUACAUCAGAAGCUUAAAUUUGUGAAGAACGACAAGCUUGUCGUUGUUGGUGGAGAAAAGGCGCUAUUAGUGAGCCAUCUGUCAUCUUUUUCAUAUAUUGAAGCUGAGGAGGAGGUUGGAACACCAUUCCAAGCCUUGUCCAUUGUUGAUGAAGUAAAGAAAAUUGGGGCAUCCAUGUCUUCUUUAAAGGAUGCUCAGAAGGCUAUUGAGGCUGGCAACGUUGAUCAGUGGGGCCGUUUGGUAGAGAUUGCUUAGAACAAGAAUAGAGACGGAUUGAGAUUUCAACCGGGGUCGUUCAACGUCAAAGUUGAAGAUGUGCAACCGAGUUUCCGCAGUGGAGGGUUUAUUCAUGGGAAUAAUCAACACUCAGCUGAUGUGAUUGAGGACAAUAAUGAUGAAGUCGAGGCUUGCGCAAACUUUGUGAUGCAUGGCCAGAUUUGCAACAAUUGGGUUGCCGUUGAUGUUCCUACUGUUAUUCAUCGCUCUAAGUAAUUUGUUUUCAUUUUUAAAGAAAAAUCCUUCUCCUAUGCCUAAGGGAGAAGUGAACAUUGUUGGGAAUUUUCUUAUUAUCAUCAAUAAAAUACAAUUUUAUUCAUCCACAUCUAUGAUGUUUUAUUUUUACUUUUUUCUUUUCUGAAAAGGGUAAUCACAAAAAACAUAAAUUAAUAAUAAUCUUCCAUCUGCAUAAUAUUUGGUCGCAAUCUAUUUCUCUAAAAUCAAAAUAUCAAAUCAUUAUGUAGGUUGGUUCUCAAACCCAUUGAAUACAAUAAUCCUACUCCCUCUCCAAACUUUGAUUUCCCUGUUGUCGCAUUACGCGAAAAACCGUCGGGAAAAGACACAGAGCCGCCACCGUGCGUUAUUUAUCCCAAAGGAGGGAAAGGAAACGCUCGAAGUAAACCUGGAAAGGAAAUGGUCUCACGACCAGAGAUUGAUAGGAUCGGGAGUCGGUUAUGCGAAUAAGACACAGAGCCGCCACCGUGCGUUAUUUAUCCCAAAGGAGGGAAAGGAAACGCUCGAAGUAAACCUGGAAAGGAAAUGGUCUCACGACCAGAGAUUGAUAGGAUCGGGAGUCGGUUAUGCGAAGGGAAGAUAUUAGCACCCCUACGCAUCCGUCGUACUCGACAGGAUCCACGCUCAAGAGAAUAGAAUAAGGUUGCUGAAUAAACUGCUCAAAACACUGCACAAGCUAGAAUGAAACACAGACGAAAGAAGACGGAAGAAGAUGACUCGGCAGGGUGUCGCAUCCUGGGCCUACGUAGUUUGUCAGAAACAAACAUCAGAGUCGACGUAGUUCGGGGAAAUGGGAAACGUCCUCGCUAGGAUAUCGCAUCCUAUGCAUACGUAUCUUCUCUAACCAGAGUAAGAAUCAGAGCACUCGUAGCUCGGCUAACGCACGCCGAAACAAAACGCUAAAAGAAGACGCUGAGACGUCAGAGCAAACACACAAUCGGAAACGGAAUGCCAAUUGCUGGUCUUACAUCCAACUCCACAAAAGAACACAGGAAACCGAAUGCCAAUCGCUGGACUUACGUCAGACUCCAAACAAAGAAACGCAAACAGGAAACCGACUGCCAAUUGCUGGACUUACAUCAGACUCCAAACAAACAAACACACACGGGAAACCGACUGCCAAUCGCUGGACUUACGUCAGACUCCAAGCACACAAACACAAGAAGAAGGGUCUCGAUUGCAACUAGGGCAAGAGAAAGGGAAGGUCUCAAUCGCAACGGGGGCGAGAGAAAAGGAACAAAGUUAGUUGUUAGUCAAACUCGACAAGACAUCGCAUCUCGUGCCUACGUAUCUCAUCUGGACAUGAGAAUCAGAGUUGUCGUAGUUCGGCUAACGCACGCCGAAACAAAACACGCGCAACAAAACAAAAAGGGCGCCUGGAGAGAUCAACUCAUCUCCUGCCUACGUACCUCAUCUGGUAUGAGGAUCAGGGCGACGUAGUUCCCCUUAACAGGGAAAACUUCUAUCCUAACCAGAGACUAGGGAGAUAACAGACUACUAGGGAGACUACGACUCGAGCCUAGAAGUUGUCAUGCAAACGAUCCCUAUGUUGAGGUCUUAGUUCCCCUUAACAGGGAAAACUUCUAUCCUAACCAGAGACUAGGGAGAUAACAGACUACUAGGGAGACUACGACUCGAGCCUAGAAGUUGUCAUGCAAACGAUCCCUAUGUUGAGGUCUCUAAUCAGAUCCUAACUUUCACAUGAAGCAAGCUAGCCUAAACAGUAAAUAAGCAAGCACAAGCACAGGUGAACAGGUAUCACACGCUAUAUGCAAACAAGUGGCUCAUACAAGGCUGGGCUUUAGUCAAGGGGUCAUAUCAACCUCGACAAACAAGUCAACUGGAAAGGGUGUCUGAGGCUCUUAACCACUGACAUUGAUCGUCAGGGUGAGCCGAUGAAAAGGUAAUGAGGAUAAGACCUCAUAGCUCUUAACCCUAGCCAGGGUGAGCUCAAGACAAUGAAAGUGUGGGAGUCCAGAAUGUGGGACCCUACUCCACUUGACUGACUCUAUAUACAAGGAUCUUGGGUGUUUAUUCAAAAUGCAUCAGCACGUAGUGCGAGCAAGAUGAAUGACUCAACUGAAUAGCAGGGGAUGGAUUGCACAUCCCUUCUAUCCAAUUGCCUGCUUCACUAGGAGGGCUUGAAAGCAAGGCAGAAAGAUAAACAAGCACAAACAUUGCCUCUUAAGGAGGGCUUCAGACAGGUGCCUGCCAAAGAUAGCAGGUCUUCCAGACUACAUGAAGUCAGAGGUCAUUACCUGGGUGGUAUGCCAACCACAAGCAAAGCAAAGUUCAUAUAAUGAACUUAAAGCAGCUAAUGUACCUGGGUAAACAACCAAACAAUGAGUAUAGUAUUCAGACAAAACAAUCAGAAAGUCCAACAGUGAGACAACCAAUCAUCAGACAACAUCAAUGCAAGGCAUAAGAUGCAAGCAAACUAAAUUGAUUCAUCAUCCACAAGACCUACAAAACAACAAGGUUAGUCAACCAAAAUAACUUGUAUCUCAAGUGAUGAGAUCAAUCAACCAAUGUGGCUAAUUGCUUGAAACCUGAAAUACAAAGUCCAAAACAGUGAGUACAAACCACUAGCACCAAGGCUAGGGUCAAAGGUGAGGUAAAAAGUCAAAACAGAAGCUAAAACUCAACAUGAAUCACAUUUAAUCAAGUAAGAACAAGUCCUAAAAAGGACCAAAUCAAAAUCAUCAAGCCAAGUCAUGUGGUGAACAAAAUAUGGCAAAGACACACAACAUGAUCAUCAAUUAGACAUACAAGUGAGAAAAUGCACAUUAAAUCAGAAACACAUCUAGUGAUCAUGAAAUUUUAUACACAAGCUCAACAUAUUGAACACAAACAUGGUGCAAAAAAUUAGAACCAGAAGAGCUCAUUUGGCAAGGCAAUAAAAAUGAAUAAGAUCAAUCAUCAAAUUGUGUGACACACAUUGUCACACCUAAAGUCCAUGUGUCUAAAACAGGGAAGGAAAUUGCAAAAAAUGCCAAAUAAAAUCUCACAAAUCAUGCAUCAUAUUGUGAAUCAUCAUGUAAAAUUUCAGGGCAAUUGGUCAAAUAUUGAUCAUUUCACAUCAAUUUGAAUGAGGCAUAGUACAAAUGCAUACAUGUUCAAAGAAUUCAGCACCAUUUAAUUUCCAGAAAUGAUAAAAUCCUAAAAUCCACACCAUAAAAUUCUAGACAUUCACAUGAACAAGUAGAAAAAAGUUGGGAAUUAAUUGGAUCAUUUUUCAAUUAGUUAUGAAUUUUUGAAUUUGGAAGAAAAUAAAUGAAAUAAUGUUGAAUUAAAUGGAAAUGGUUUUAAAAAUGAAAAAAGGUAGAAUGCUGCAGGUGGGAAUCGAUCCCUGUAGGCGUCAAAACGCCAGCGUUUUGUUCAAAUAAGGGAAAUCAGAAAAAAGAAAAAAAAGAAAAGCUUCGCUGGGAACCGAAGCCUGGUCCAUGGGCAAAACGACAUCGCCCUCAUUAAAUGAGCUGGCGGACAUCUAGGCAAUUCAAGGUUGCAUGGAAGUGGUCAAACGAGUCCUGGCCAACCAAAAUGACAACGAGCGCAUGCGUGGCAGGUGAUGAAGCAAACCCUAGCAUUAAAAACCAGAGGCGCUGGCACUGUUCCCACGCGGUGGUCCAAGGCGGAAACCACCGUCUCCUUCGUUGAGACGGUGGGUGAACAGUAUGCAUCAUGAAUUUUUUUUCCAGUUUUUCGAAAUCUAUAUAUCAUUGGAACGGUCAUGGCAUGAGGAUUACAGAUCAAGCAUUAAUUCAGUCCAAAUCAUCACCAAUUAUGCAAAUCGAAGAAAAGUAUAUCAUACAUUCAAAAAUUCAAUCACAUAUAUCUCAGCCAAUAGUUCAUCAUUUUCAAUUCUAAAAGCAUCAGCAGAAUCAGCAUUCCAAGAUCUACACUAACAUGUCAAUGGAUUAAAGGAUUAUGAGAUUCGAAAAAUUAACCUCUUGAAGAGCAGCUUCUGGAAACGCACGAUUCAAAGCUUCCAAUGAUCCAAAUCAACUCCUGAGAUGCUAAAUUGAAGCUUUGUGCAAUAAUGGAGGCUUGGCACGUCCUAGAUCCAGCUCAAUUCUGAACUUCCAUACUUGUGUUCUUGCUUGGAGUAUGCAUGAAUUUGAGGUAAAAUCCACCAAACACACGUUGAAUCUUGCUCAACAACCAUCCAUGUUCAUGAUUAUGCAAGAAAAUUCCAGGUUUAUGUGUAAAAUUUUGGAAAAUCAAUGAAGAGAAAAUUGAGAGUGAAGAUGGAUUUCUAGAUCUGAAAAGUUGUGUAAUGAGCAAUACAGUUACCAUUAAGCCUUUAUACCAUCUAUUAAUUAAUCUGAAAACAUGAUUAGGCCAAGGCUAAUGGAGAUUAGGAAGAAAAGAGAUGUAUGCACAAAUUGACAAUUUCACCUCAUGCAUGGAAAUCCUACGUGAACAGUAACAAAAGAGGGCCCAAAUUCACUCAAAAUCAGCCCAUGCACACAUUGGAAAUGGAAUUAUAUUCAUGUGAUCAACCAAUUUUGAUUUUGGCAAUUUCCCUUCAAAAAUAGCAUGCAUGAGCAAAUGGUUGUGUGAAUGAAUUUCAUGCCGUGUAAUGAAUGAUUUGGAAAAUAUAUUUCAUGGGGAGCACAAUGCAAAAAGAGGUACCCAAAUUGGAGUCUUGGUUCAAAAGAUAUGGCAUUUUGAAGUUUCGAGCACACUUGGCAAUGAUUUGAUCAUAACUCCUUAACCAUUCAUCAUAAAUUCAUGAUCUUGGACUUUUUGGAAAUGGGAGAGAAAGAUAUUCAACUUUCAUGUUGGACAAAAUUUCUUUUGAAGCUUCUUUGAUGUUGGAAAGUUGAGUUGAAGUUGGUCCAAAAACUUGCCAUUUUUGGAAAUUUGAAAUUACAGGUCAUUUUCCAUUUUUGGAAACUUUUGAUCUGGCUUCAAAUCCUUCAAGAUAAGUGUUUGACAUGAUGAAUAAACCUAUUUUGGACAUGAAUGAAGUGUCUCAAACCAUUUCUCCACCUUCUAGCCCUUAUUUGACUUGUAGUUGACUUUUAUGGGCCCCAGAUGACUUGGACAUGUACUGAUGACCUUGAGCCUCUAACACUUGGUCAAGUUACUUCAAAAUGAACCUUGGCUCAUGUAAGCUCUUUAGAAUACUCAUGUGGCCUUCAACUCAAGGAAAGACCUUGCUCUCUUUGCAUUGAGGAAUCCUCUUGAUGCCAGCCUUGACUGAUAAGAUGCAAUGUACUAUGCCAUGUUAAUGUAAUGUUAAUGACCUAAAAAUGAAAUGAGUGAAUGAAUGGGGGUGCAAAUUUGAGGUGCUACACCUGUGUUCGAGGCUGAGGAAGAAACUGAUGAUGAAGAAGUAUCUGAUGAAUUAUCUCAUUUACUUGAGCAUGAGGAAAAAGUCAUUCAGCCGUUCGAAGAGCAGAUUAAACUAGUCAACUUGGGCUCCGAAGAUGAUGUGAAGGAUGUAAAGAUUGGGUCUCAACUGUGUCCAGAAGCUAAGAAGGGGUCGAUUGAUCUUCUUCGAGAAUAUUCUGAUGUGUUUGCUUGGUCCUAUCAAGACAUGUCUGGUUUGGAUUCUGAGAUUGUGGAGCAUAGAUUGACGUUGAAGCCAGAAUGCUCGUCGAUCAAGCAUAAGUUGAGGAGAACUCAUCCCGAUAUGGAAGUUAAGAUCAAAGAGGAAGUGCAGAAGCAUAUCGAUGCCAGUUUUCUUAUUACCUUUGAAUAUCCGCAAUGGGUGGACAAUAUUGUGCUUGUUCCUAAGAAAGAUGGAAAAGCCCGCAUGUGUGUUGAUUAUAGAUAUUUGAACAAAGCUGGUCCAAAAGAUGAUUUUCCUCUGCCACACAUUGACAUGUUGGUAGACAAUACAACAAAAUUAAAAGUCUUUUCGUUUAUGGACAAAAUUUCCGGUUAUAAUCAAAUCAAGAUGGCACCUAAAGAUAUGGAGAAGACCACAUUCAUUACACCCUGGGGAACAUUCUGUUAUAGAGUGAUGUCUUUCAGUUUAAAGAAUGUUGGUGCAACGUACCAGAGAGCUAUGACCACUCUUUUUCAUGAUAUGAUGCAUAAAGAGAUUGAAGUUUAUGUUGAUGAUAUGAUUGCCAAAUCAAGUGAUGAAGAAGAAAAUGUUGAGUAUUUGUUGAAGUUAUUCCAGCAUUUAAGGAAAUACAAACUCCACUUGAAUCCCAAUAAGUGUACUUUCGUUGUUCGUUCUGGUAAGUUGUUAGGCUUUAUCGUCACCGAGAAAGGUAUUGAAGUUGAUCCUACCAAGGGCAAAGCAAUACAAGAAAUGCCUGCGCCCAAAACUGAGAAGCAAGUAAGAGGUUUUCUCGGCCGCUUGAACUAUAUCUCAAGAUUUAUAUUGCAUAUGACUGUCACAUGUGUGCCUAUUUUCAAGCUUCUUUGGAAAGAUCAGUCUCGUGAUUGGACCGAAGAUUGCUAGAAAGCUUUUGAUAGUAUAAAAGAAUAUUUUCUUGAGCCUCCGAUUCUGUUUCAGCUUGUUGAAGGAAGACCUUUGAUCAUGUAUUUGACUGUGCUUGAUGAUAGUAGGGGUUGUGUUCUCGUUCAGCAAGAUGAAUCUGGGAAGACUCGGUAUUAUAUGCUUGAAAAGACAUGUUGCGCAUUGGCUUGGUCUUCUAAGCGUCUGUGCUAGUAUAUGUUGAAUCAUACUAGGUUGAUAUCUAAAAUGGAUCCAAUCAAGUACAUUUUUGAGAAACCUGCUUUAACUGGGAGGAUUUCCCAUUGGCAAAUAUUGUUAUCCGAGUAUGAUAUUGAAGACCGAUCUUAAAAAGCGAUUAAAGGUAGUGUCUUGGCUGACCAUUUGGCUCACCAAACGAUUGAAGGUUACUAGUCAGUGCAGUAUGAUUUUCCUGAUGAAGAGAUUUUGUACCUGAAAAUGAAAUAUUGUGAUGAACCAUUGCUUGAAUAAGGUCCAAAACCUGGUUCUCGUUGGGGCAUGGUAUUUAAUGGAGCUGUUAAUUCAUAUGGUAAUAGAAUUGGGGCAGUGAUUAUUACUCCUUAAGGCACUCAUUUUUCUUUUACAACUAGAUUAACUUUCAAGUGUACAAAUAAUAUGGCUGAGUAUGAAUCUUGCAUUAUGGGGCUUGAAGAGGCCAUUGAUCUCAGAAUAAAAUAUCUUGACGUCUAUGGAGAUUUAGCUUUGGUUGUGAAUCAGAUCAAAGGUGAAUGGGAGACGAAUCAACCCGGUUUGAUACCAUAUAGAUACUACGCGAGGAGAAUUUCAACUUUCUUUACAAAGGUUGAGUUUCAUCAUAUCCCUCGAGAUGAAAAUCAGAUGGUAGAUGCUCUUGCAACGUUGGCUUCCAUGAUUAUGGUGAAAUUUUGGAAUGAAGUUCCCAAUUUGACUGUGAUGCAUCUUGAUAGGCCAAGUCAUGUGUUUGUUGUUGAAGAAGUCAAAGAUGAAAAGUCAUGGUAUUACGAUAUCAAGUGUUUCCUCCAAAGUCAGAUUUACCCGCCCGGGGCAUCUUUGAAAGAUAAGAAGACUUUGAGGAGAUUAGCUGGAAACUUCUACCUGAAUGGCGAUGUGCUAUACAAGAGAAACUUCGAUAUGGUCUUGCUCAGAUGCGUGGAUAGACACGAAGCAGACUUAUUGAUGACUGAAGUCCAUGAAGGUUCCUUUGGUACUUAUUCCAAUAGACAUGCCAUGGCGAAGAAGAUGUUGAGAGCAGGUUACUAUUGGUUAACAAUGGAAUCUGACUGUUGCAAGUUUGUGAAAAAAUGCCACAAGUGUCAAGUUUAUGCAGAUAAAAUUCAUGUUCCUCCGACACUGUUGAGUGCCAUUUCCUCUCCACGACCCUUCUUCACGUGGGGAAUUGAUAUGAUUGGCAUGAUUGAGCCUAAAGCUUCGAAUGGGCAUUAUUUCAUUCUAGUGGCCGUCGAUUACUUCACAAAGUGGGUUGAAGCAACAUCGUAUGCGAAUGUGACCAAGCAAGUUGUUGUGAGGUUUAUCAAGAAUCAGAUUAUAUGUCGGUAUGGUGUGCCAAGUAAGAUCAUUACUGAUAAUGGAUCAAACUUGAACAAUAAUAUGGUGGAAGCUCUUUGUAAAGACUUGAAGAUUAUACAUCAUAAUUCUUCUCCCUACAGACUUAAGAUGAAUGGGGUUUUUAAAGCUGCAAAUAGGAAUAUCAAGAAGAUCAUCCAGAAGAUGGUUGUAACCUACAAAGAUUGGCAUGAGAUGCUCCCAUUUGCUUUGCAUGGGUACCAUACAUCCAUCCGCACUUCAACAUGGGCAACCCCCUUCUCUUUUGUUUAUGGCAUGGAAGUUGUUCUCCCAGUAGAGGUUGAGAUCCCAUCAUUGCGUGUCUUGAUGGAAGCCAAGUUGAUUGAAGCUGAAUGGUGCCGGAUUAGAUAUGAUUAGUUGAGUUUAAUUGAAGAGAAAAGAUUCACUACCAUAUGUCAUGGUCAGUUAUAUCAGCAGAGAAUGAAGAAGACAUUUGAUAAGAAGGUCAGGCCUCGUGUGUUUAGAGAAGGUGACCUUGUGCUCAAGAAGAUUAUAUCUUUUAAACCUGAUGCUAGAGGAAAAUGGACUCCUAAUUAUGAAGGCCCAUAUGUUGUUAAGAGAGCCUUCUCAGGCGGUGCUUUGAUUCUUACAACUAUGGAUGGUGAAGAGUUCAUUCGUCCUAUGAAUGUCGAUGUAGUCAAGAAAUACUUCGCCUAAAAAGAAAAAGAACAGCUUAGGCAAAAAAUGAGCGUCUCAGUGGAUUAAAAACUCGCAAGGGGGAUCCAGGCAAAAAUUAGAGACAUAAAACUGAAAUUUAUCCCUCUAGAUUUAGUACCCCACCUUGGGGAAAUCUAGGUAAAAAUUAGAGAUUAUGGCAAGUAACUGCAUUUGUUGGUCCUGAUCAUUGGAGCAGUUUUGAGCAAAUAAUUCUGUUCUGAUUCGUGAUUCUCAACCGAAGCCAAGAGCACAACGGAUAUUGAAGUUGGUAGGAAGAAUAGUGAUCAUUGUAUUCAAUUUAGCCCUUUACCAUGUAAAUUACCAUUUUCAACUUUUGUAAAGAUCUAUGGGGUCUUGUCAUUUACAGACUACCAUCCUAUUAAAUAAAGUUGAGCUUUUAUCCAAUUGUUUCUACUCUUAUUUAUUUCAGCUAAAUAAAAUUGAAUUUUUUAUGAUGAUAAUUUUGAAAUAAACUAAUAUAUAAAAAUCAUUUUUUCUUAAAUAAUAAAAGCAAUUACUUUAAAAACAAUUGAUUCGGUAAGGAAUAUCAACAUCAGUAUGAGAAUAGGUAAGUCUUGACGGUCUUCCUGAAGCAUUUGGUUUAUUGACAAUUCCCAACGAUUCAUCAUUUGUCCCCAGUAGAGUUGAACUGGUGGUCAGUCCCUUUUUGCAAGCCAUUUUUCCCAGCUGAGUUGUAGGCUCGCAUCCUCAGGAAUUUGCCUAGAUCCUCCGUGCAGAGUUUUAUCUCUUGUUCUCCCAACCGGAGUUCAUCCUCAAAUACAGCGGUGUUGAUUUUGAGCAGUAUUUGAUUUGGUCCCCUACGAGGUUGUCUCCCAUUUAAUAUGGUGUUGACCUAAAAUUCCCCGCAGAGUUGUCAAUUUAGAUCCUCAAUAGAUUUUUUCUCCUUCCCCAGCCAGGAUUGAGUUAUUAAGAGCCAGAUGAUUGGUGUUCAUCCCCAACAUCUUUUCUCCAGUUGGUGUUUCCGUCUUGUUAAGAUUAGCCGAUUGUUGCAGUGGUGAUUCAAAUCUGUGAUAUUUGUAUCCUUUGUGAUAGUUUUGUCAGCAUAAUCAUCAAACAUAUACAUAUUCAUGCAUAAAACACAACAUCAGAUAAUUCAUUAUGCAUCUUUAUUGCAUUUGAUUCCUUAUUUCUGAUCCCCUACUACGGUGAUAUUAUUUCCCUAUACAGGCUUGGUGCGUCUGUCCUCUCUCAAUAGUGGAGUGUCAGCCCAUUAAGUAGAAAGAAUUUAACCUUUCUCAUUUCCCCACUGAGUUAUUUCCUCGUGGAUGAUUAUUGUUUCAGUUUCCUCCCCAGUUAAUUAUCUGGAUGGAACCAUUCCCCUUGAGUUAUUUCCUCAUCGGAUCGAGUCUUUGUUUGACCGUUUCUUUCUAGUUACUACCUAAAUGGAUAUUUUGGUCCCCUGAGAGUCUAUUACCCAGUAACUGGUAAUAUUCUUCUCAAUUUUUGAGUACUUUACUUUUUCCUAAUACCCGGUAAAAGUAAUAUACUUCUUUUGUUAUCCCCAGCAGAUUCAUUUUGAUGUCUCCCCAGGCAGUCUAUCCUUGAUAUGUUCAUCCUAACCAAAGACGAAUAUUCUCCCUUUAUGGUUUUCUACCCUGUAAAAAGGUAGUUGUAGUCCCUAUUUCAUUCCCAGAGAGUUAAUCCUUGAUAUGUUCAUCCUAACCGAUGACAUAUUUUUUUCUCCCUUUGGUAUUCUAUUCAGUAAUCGGUAGAUAUAAAUCCUACUUCUCCCCUCAUAGUCAAUCCUUGAUAUGUUCAUCUUAACCGAUGACGGAAUUUCUCCCUUUUGCGGUCUUCUGCCCAAUAACAGGUAGUUGUAAAUCUUGUUUUCCCCUGCUGAGCUUAUCCUUGAUAUGUUCAUCAUAACCGGUGACAGAUAUUCUCCCUUUGGUAUUCUAUCCAGUAACUGAUAGAUAUAAUUCCUACUUUUUCCGCGACAGUCUAUCCUUGAAAUGUUCAUCCUUACCGAUGACGGAUAUUCUUCCUCUGAGUCUAUCCCUUAUUUGUUCACUUUAACCGGUGACGAAUAUUCCCUUUUUGGUCUUCUGCCCAAUAACCAAUAGUUGUAAAUCCUAUUUGAUAUUUUCCCGAGAAGGCUGUUCUUACCCAGUAACCGGUAACGAAAACACCUUUUUUUCCUUGGUGAGUCAUCCUUGAUAUGUUUACCCUAACCGGUAACGGAUGUCCCUCUGUCAGAGUACAUUAUCUUCUUACCCAGUAACCGAUAAUAGAUAAUAUAUUUCUGGUACUCCUGUGUUGAAGAUCAUUCUUCCCCACUUGAGUUUGAUUCAGGUAUUUUAGCUUUGUUCUGAUCUACCCAUUUCCCCCGCAGAGGUUUCCCUCUUCCCCAGACUGAGUCCUUCUGUUGAUUUAUUUUCAUGGAAAUUCCCCUCGUGUCUCCCGCAGUCUUUAAGUCGUAGCCUGGCCUAUGCACAACACUUUUACCCAGUGAGUUUUCCUUAUGGAAUGCAAUAUUCUCCUGUGGAUUUUCAGUCUCUCUGGAUUGUUUUCCUUUGUGGAAAUAUUUUCCCCAUAUAGAUUAUUUUUUACAUUUCAUAUCAUAUGCAUCAUGAGGUCUCUUAGGGACAAAAAUUUGUUUCUAUAUGUUGUUAUUGAAGUCCAUUCUACUGAGUUGAUACGAAGAUUUUAACCUUCACAUCCUCAUUUAGAAUGUCAUUAAAUAUGGGCAGCUGUAAGACCCCAAUUUUGACCCAUAGAUCGGCUCAUGCUAUCUCAUCAUAUGCAUUAGCAUUGAGAUCACACAUUGGCAUCCUCCUUACCCCUCAUUCACUGGUUUUGCAUUAGGAGAGGUCACCAAGCACAUUUGAUUGUAUCAUACUUUGAUUUUCAUUAUUUACUAACCAAAAUACCAAAAAUAUGUCCAUGUAUAGUUUGUUGCUUUUGUAGGUAGUGUGUGAGUUCACCCAUGCUCCAUCAAGCUCAUAUCUAGGGUUUAAAACCCUCAAUGCAAGAAGGCCAAUCAAUAGAUGGUUUACAUUUACUCUAGACAUCAUGUAUGGAUCCCCUUGAUCUUCAUUUAUCAUUUUGAUCAAGAAUUCAUCAAGAGUUUAAAGCUUGUUUGUCUUGGAAGCCCUAAUUAAUCUGGGUAUCUUGUGUGACUUACUCAACAAGUUUCUUCAACAUUUGAUUAAAUAUUUAAAGGGGUACUUCAUAUUACAUCAUCUUACACAUAUAUGAUCCUUCGUGAGUCUCAAAGAUCAAGAUAAUGUCAAGUUAGCAAGUUGGUUCAUGGUGGUUGACCAGAGAAGUCAAAUAGUCAAAACCGGGGUUCCCUAGACCCUAUCUCCUAUACUUUUUGUCAUAUGAAAAUUAUUCCAAGACUAAAGUUACUCAUAAUGACAUUCCAAACAACUUUCAUGUUUAAGUCAAGAGCUAGUGUUUCUUGUAAAGUCAUUUUUUAUGGUGAAAUAUUAUAGGUCAUUUUAUGUGAACCCUAGUUAGAAGGUCAACUUUCGAGGACCAUAACUUGCCUAAUGUUUAUGAGAUGAAAGCCAUUAAAGUUUCAUUAUCAAAUUAAAGAUUCCCUUUUCAACUUUUAUGUUUUGAAUAAGUUCAAAUUCAACUUGAAAAUGCAUGUGCCAAGAGGAAACAUUAUAGGUCAUUUUGGGCCAUUACCAUUGAACAAGUGAUUUUCCUCAACUUCUAAAAUGCAUAACGCCUUCAUGCCAAAUCCAAAUGAGGUUAAAUUUAUGACCAAAUUAAAUAGGUUUGAAAUAUAUGUAACUUUUAUGAAGUAAAGUUUUCCAUUGGAAGCACAUAGCAAAAGUUAUUCAAGGUGGAAGAAGUGAACAUUUGACUUGGUACUUAGAAAAUUUUCAAACAUGUUUGAUUUUCCAAACAUCCACCUCAAAAUUCAUCAUGAUCCAAGACUCAAAUGGAAAAGUGUUCAACAUGAAAGGUGUUCCCCUUUAUCUCACCUUCCUAAAAAGUCCAAGAUCACCUCAUUUGGACAAAUAAUGAAAGACUUGCACAUGGGUUCUUUUCAAGGGACCAAUUGGAUGUUUUUCACCUUCACAUUUCAAACUCAAAUGCAUGGCCACAUGACAUGAUUUCAGCAUGAUUCUCAAGCAAUUUUGGACCUGAAUACAUCACUUGAUGGGCCAAUUACACACCCAUGCAAGCAUGCGAUGAAAAUUGCUAAAUUUGGAAAAAUUUGAAAGUGUGUGGAAAUGAAUCACAUUGCUUAUAAAUGCAACCCCUCAUGCUCAGAAUUGGAGACCUCAUGCCCAAGCUUUGAACCUGCAAUCCAAACCCUCAACAUUAAAGGAUAAUCUUGAAGGUUUUCAUUUGAAAAUCGAGCUUCAAAUCUCAUUCUGUUUUGAGAUUGAAACUCCAAGAGUCUAAGUCAUUUUCUGAUCUUAAUCACUUCCUACAAACUUCUGAAACAAAGCCAAGCACAAUUGGGGUCAAGAUCAAGCAAGGUUGAAGUUCCCUCGAAGGUAAUUUUUCAGAAUUUUCAUCUCUUCGAUUCUCCCUCAAUUCUUCACUAUUCUAUGUGAUUUUUGGUUGGAUGAAGUCCUACCAAUGUAGGCAAGAAGACUGAAUUGCUUUGAGGUCAAAUCGAAGCAACUCAGUUCAUGAUCCUCAAAAUUCAAAUCCAUGGAUCUUUUUAUAUACUUGGAAUUGGAGAAAAUUGAGGCCAGAUUCGAGCUACUGAGUAUUCUCUAUUCAAAAUAGUGUCCUUGUUUUUCAUUUUUCAUGAAGUUGAGGUUGGACCAGUCCGGUGGUCAUCAUCGGAGAAGAUGAGCGAAGCCAGGGCUCCAGUGGUGAGUUGGCUUCAUCUCAUCCAUCUGAUCUUGGUCCAAGGAUCUAAUCUUAGCCUUUGGUUUGAAUUACCACUUGUACAUGCGCGUUGACCGUGGACUAUGGUGGAUGAUACGCGCUUGGUCAUUAGAUCUGCCACCUUAAUUAAUGAGAGAAAUCUGAUGGCCCUCGUUUUUUCCAAUUUCCUUUUAAUUUCUGAAUUUAUGUUUAAUUGCUUUAUUUUGUUUAAUUCAUAAUAAUUUCAUUUUUAAUCCAAAAAAUAUGGGACUUUCACCAAAAAUCUUUAAAUAUUUUCCUCUUUCAUUUUUUGAAUUAAAAUCAUUUUUGGAUUAAUUUUGAUAUUUUUCAUGAAUUAAAUGUUUUCUUGCAUAUUUUUAAUUGUUUAAAAAUACUUCUGACUUUUCAAAAAUGAGAUUUUUUUUAUCUAAGGUCCUUUGACCUUGGUUGACCUAGGAUAAAUCUCUUUGCCAUUUAUUUGGUGUUUUGAAGAGAUGUUAGGUUUUGGUCAAAUUAAAUUGAAUUUUCAUGCUUUUUUAAUUUAAUUUUUAAUCGAUUAAUUGUGUAAAAAUUAUGUUGAGCCAUUUUUAUGGUCUUGUGAUGUUUGACUAUUUGUUUGAGCCUUGGUCAAGGUUGAUUUGACUUUUGUUGGAUUAAAAUCAUUGGAUUUAGGGGUUUGAUGAAAUGUACAUUUCAUCUCCCAAAAUGAAUGAAUGGUUUUAAUUUGAUAAAAUACCUCCCAUGACCAAUUUGUGUUUAGGAUUAGUCUCUUAACUUUGUGGUCAGAUCUUUUCAACUCUUAACUUUUAAAGUUAUGCUUAGGGUUAGUCUCUUCAUCUCCUCCCACUUCUUAAAUUUCAAAAUCUCUCCCUCUUUUCAAAAGUUAUGCUUGUGAUUUCAAACUUAGACCUUAUUUCAAAUAGAAACUUUGGUCUUAUGUCAUUGAAUUUUUGAACUUCUUUUUCAUAAAUCAAACUUGUAAAUAAAUCUAAUCAUAUUGACUAAGAAAUUUCAAAAGGCAAAAAGAACUAACAACCCCAUUCAAACCUUUGGCUCCUUCGUGCCCUUCUCAGUUAAAUUUUUGUUAAAAGCAAUUCACCAACUUUGAAAUUUUCACCACGAACUACGAGGUUUUGAUCCCUCAUUUUUAUGUUGGUACGUAGGCACAAGUACGAAGGUUUUGUCAAACACAAAAAUAUAAUAAAUGAAUUCUUUUCUCAUCCCCACACUCUAUUUUUUCCAAACAUCAUUUUAUACCAAAAACACAUACACACAUAAAAAAGGGCUCCCUAUGAGUACCUAGGACACUUUGGGUACUAACACUUUCCCUCUGUGUAACCAACCCUCUUACCUGUAAUCUCUGACAUUUUAUUAGUUUUGAUUUAAAAACCUCUUAUCUUUGGGUUUUGUUCGUACUUUUCCCUUUUCCUUUGGAAACAAUAAAAGCGCGGUGGCGACUCUGAUUUUAUUGACGUUAAACUUAUCCAUAGAUUGAUGGUCAUGAAUUUACCGCUACAAGACCUUUUACACAUGUCAAUCUUAAGAACAUACAACCAAGCUUUUAUCAAGUUUAGGUUGCAAUCUUUAAGUCCUAUACAAAUACAAUUUGAAACAUAAUCACACUCAUGAAUACAUCAAAUAAAGCACAACACCAAUUAUAACAUAGCUCUCACAAGGACUUUUCAAUCUUUUGUCACUAUGUAAAUUUUUAUGAUAAAACAUAUUUUAGAAUAAAGAGAGUAGAAUAAGUGUGAUUUCCAUGCUAAAUUUGGUGUAAAAUGAAAUAAGAUGAAGUCUCCUUUAUAUAGGAAGAUUUUUGGCUAAAAAGGGAACUGAUCCUUAGGGCAUUUUAAUUUUUUAAUCUUAUAACCCAAGUUGGUAAUCGAUUAAAUAUUUUCAAAAUACCGCAACCCAAAUCAAAAAAGGAAAACCAAAAUACCUACAUGGUUUAAUCAAUAAAAGCAUUUCUAGCUGAUUGAGAAGUCAUUUACCUUCCUCUAAUUGAUUAAACCCAACGGUUAUUCGAUUAAGCAAUGUAAAACUUUCAUAAAUGAUUAGAAUCCUUGAUAGGUUUUUAAAAAGUCAUGCUCACCAUAGACACUUUUUUCUAAGACACAAUUUUCUUGGAUACUAGAAUUCCUUAAACCCACAACCUUUUGAUGGUGUGUUAUUUCUGAAAAUAGACAUAACUUUUGAAGUUCUUUUGGUCCUGAUAACAUCUUUGGGCCAAUUUUAUUUAUAUACUUCCCCUUUAAGUCUCUGACCCAUUUUCUUUUGGGCACACACUUAAACACAUACUAAGUGGUAAAAAAUAGUUUUAUUUAUUAAAAUGAUAAUUUAGAACUUGUUAGAAGAAUAAUGAAAGUUUUUCGAGUUCAUUCUCUACCAAUUGGUUAUUUCUAGAACCACAAUUAAUUUUCUUUCUUCUAAACCUCAAUACAUAUUUUUAUUUGAGAUACAAUCAUAGAAUAUCUUUCUUAGGGAAAUUUUUUCUAAAAUAUAAUUCUUCAAACAUGAAAUCAUCUCUCCUUAGAAAAUAUUUAGAUAACUUUUUUUGAUUUUACAAUUUUCCUUUGAUGGUGCAAAGAAUUCCUACUUCAUCUUUGUUUAUGUAUAGAUUUAUAUUUCUUUUCACAUUCCUUAGGUUAAUCUAUUUAUUAAAAUAUUCCUCUGAUUGACAAAAUUGUAAAUCAAAGAAAUAUCAAAGCUCCCACGUCAUAGACAUUGUGCAUCAUAUUAGAAAAAUUCCCUGCACAAGAAUUCUUUAGUACCACCCAAAAUAAUAUUAAUGUAUUCGCAUAAGUAAAAUCUCAUGCUCAUUUUUUUUAACUAAAAUUUGUAUCAAACAACUCUCUUUGAAAUUUGUUUUCAGGCUAAAACUUGCUCAGACGAUCAUGCCAAGCUUUAGGGGCUUAAACCAUAGACACACUUUUUUUCCAGCUUGAAGACAUGAUUAGGUAAAAAGAAGUUUUUUGAAACCCUAUAGGUUGAUCAACAUACACUUUCUCUUGGUUAUAAUCGUUCAAGAGAAUACUAUUUAAAUACAUUUGGAAGAGUUUUGAAAUUAAAAAUGCAUUCGAAAGCUAAAAUCAUCCUUAUGAGUUAUAAUAUAGCUACAAUGACAUAGAUCUCAUCGAAAUCUAGGCUUCUCUUUAUUGUAUCCUUUUUUUGAUAAAGCCCAAAUUGAACUAAACCAAGAAACAACAUGUUGGAUUGAUCGGGUGCAUUAAAAAAUGUUCAAUUUUUUUUUGAAAAACAACAUAUGUACACCAACUAACAAGAAAACAUUUAACACAUUAUCUUUUUGUGUAUGAAAAUAGUCACAUAGGACAAUGUCAUAAUAAAGGUGGUUCUUAGUACAAUAUACUUAUAAUUUUCCAAAUAUAGAUUAAAAUCAAAUUAAAAUAUCACAAUUUGUCCAUAAAUCCUUCAAAUUAAUUUAGAUAUAAAAAUACCUCAUUUUUUCUCUCCAUAGAAGUCGUGAUUGGCAUAAACGACGCUUCCUUUUUAUCUUCUUGAAGUUGAAUGCUUGGUGCUUGUUUCCAUGAUAGUGAUGAUAUGAGUUAUGCGAAUUAAUUAUAGUACAUUCAGGUAGACGGGCUUGCAGAUAUAAUAUUAGAAACUCGUUGCUCGGACCAAUAAAUAUCAGACUUCAGUAGCUUCUUUGGUUUUUACCCGAAAUUGAAAAAAAUCCCAACCCAAACCUCAUGAUUUGGUUCAGAUUUAGAUUUGAAUUGGAUUUUCCCACACAACUAAACACCUCUUCUUCUCACUCAUACAAAUGAAAUUAUCUUCUACACUAUAGUCAACAAGUUUGACUACAUGAUCAUUUGUAUUCGUCUAGGAGGACAUGGUAAUUGCCGUACCCCAAAUUUUGACUAUUUUUCUUUUAACCUCCUAAUCUAGGUUACUAACGUGGCCAUAGUCCAUGUGAGGCAUCUGAUCAACCCCAAUGACCUAAAAAAAAGUCAAAAGGGAAACCAAUUUGACUUUUUCAAUUUUUUGAUCUCAUCUUGAUUAAACUAAUAACUAAUUAGGAUAUUUAACUAGAGGUUAUAAUUAAUCAUUUAGGUGUUUCUAAUUUAAGGUUAAGUUAACAUAGUUAGAUUAAUGUUAUUAAUUAAUUAAAACUAAUUAAGUUUUAUUAGAAAGUUUUAUUAAUGUUUUUUUUUCCGGAUUUAUUAGUUUAGGUUUUUUUAGUUUUGGUUUUAAUUAGGUUAAUGGGAAGACUGAACCAGGUCAAGCCCAAUCCAUUUGGUUCAAGAGAUGAACCCAAGUCCAUGAACCAGCUGGGUCAUAUGACCCAAGUCCGUUAUCCCACCGGGUCACACCCAUGACUCAGGUUACCCAUAAAUCCCCAAUCCUCGUUGUUGUUCAGAAACCCUAAACCUGCGAAAUUAUUGGAAUCAAAUGAAACUUGAUCAAAACUUUCCUAAAUAAUCCAUAGAUUCAUUAUACAACACAAAUUACAAGCAAAUUAGUCCAAGUACAUCAAAUUCGAAAACCUAAAAAAACUAGAAAUCUAAUCAAAUCAAUUACAAUCAUAAUCAAAUUACAAGUUUCCUAAAAGAUACAAUCAUAAUUAAAUCCUAAACCUAAUUUUAAUCUAUAAAAAGACUAAGAAUAAUCAGAAUUAGGGGGACGAAAAAAAUAAGAACCCUAAGCAUUAUUGCCCUAUGCAAUUCCCAGCCUUUCAUCAAAGCUCCGACUAAGCAGUAAUUAGGAUUUCAUAUCGAAACCCUAAUUCCUAUGAGCUAAACCACAUUCACGAGUCCAUGACCUCGCACAGAAAGAAAAGAAGAAGUUAGGAGCAAAAGAAAAGAAAAACCAGAUAAAGCAGAAGAGAAUUAGAAAUCGGAAUUUUUACCUUUAAGACCAGAGAACACCUCUUCUCCAUAUGUUGGUUGAAUUCUAUAAUCUAUCUUAUUAUUUAUUUAUGAUAUUAUUGUUGUUUUGGUUUGAUGAUUUGGGUUAAGGGAUUAAGGGUUUACGAUUUUUCCAUCUGGUUUGUGAGUUUGGAUGUCUGGUUGAGGUAAAGGGGAUCAGGAUCUGUGAUUUAGUGAAGGUUUGGGUUUAUUCUGGGUAGGGUUAGGUUUGAUUUGGGUUAGGUUUAGGUUUGGCUGAAGGAAGAAGAUGAAUAUUCAUCUUCUUCAAGGUUAGGGUUCAUCUGGGUACGUUAAAGAGGGUUAAGGUUCUUGAAGCUGAGGGUUAGGGUUUGUUAAUUUGGGGUUAUGGUUCAUAGAAUUAAGGGUUAUGGGAAGGUGUUCAUCACCCAGAUGAACACCAGUUAAAGAUCCCAAUGAGCUUUACAAGGUGUGUGUGGGCUUUGUAGGGUGGUCGGAGUUAAGGCUUCAGAAGAGAUUUAGAGGGAGAGAGCAGAGAACAAAGAGAUGAAGAGAGAAAAAGGAUUUUGAGGAAUUUU